GCAGUAGCCGCGGGAAAACAGAGGGUGCAAGCGUUAAUCGGAAUUACUGGGCGUAAAGCGCGCGUAGGUGGUUUGUUAAGUUGGAUGUGAAAUCCCCGGGCUCAACCUGGGAACUGCAUUCAAAACUGACUGACUAGAGUAUGGUAGAGGGCGGUGGAAUUUCCUGUGUAGCGGUGAAGUGCGUAGAUAUAGGAAGGAACACCAGUGGCGAAGGCGACCACCUGGACUAAUACUGACACUGAGGUGCGAAAGCGUGGGGAGCAAACAGGAUUAGAUACCCCGGUAGUCCCUGUCUCUUAUAC
RNAcentral lists this ribosomal RNA (302 nucleotides) under uncultured bacterium. Its description in RNAcentral is "partial 16S ribosomal RNA". It matches the Rfam family "Bacterial small subunit ribosomal RNA", at positions 508 to 807 of the family's 1533-position model. The record is from RNAcentral.